AAAGAAAGAAAGCUAUUUGGAUUUCAACUUAGCCAACUGAUCAAAUACACAAAAAAAAGGUUUGAGUGAACUUACUGCAUAAAACCACAUGAAUAAAAUUGAAUCAGAGAACUUCAAUUGAUUUCCCAUUGGAGAGCCAUAUCAUAUGUAGAUAUACAUGACAAUAAAUAUAUGGAACAAAAAAGGAUCAUACCCCAUUGAUGGCCUACCGAUUUACCAAACAACUGCUGUCUUCGCUUAGCCUGCCUUUCAUUUUACCAUCAUCAAGAAUCAUCCUUAUGAUCUGAACUAAUCAAAACAAGGACAAGAAUAUAAAGCAAAGAAAAAAAUCAUGUGGAUAAUGAGAAACAUAAAUGAACACUUUUUUUUUGUAAUAAUAAAAAAAAAGGUAAGAAAGACAUUAAAGAAGGAGAAAAAGAAAGGGUGAGAGGGGUUGUAGGCGAUGACAGAAGCAUAGAGAGCACAAAGGAGUGAGAUGCGCAGUCCAUUAAUUGCACAUCAUCAUCUGUGCUCUCUAUCUUCUGUCAACAAUAUCACCACCAGUGCUCUUCUCUCUCCCUGAUAUUCUAUAGCUUUAUUCUACCUACAGCUUCAGACUUUGAUUAGAGUAUCAUGUAAUUGAAAUUUAAAAUUUUCUUUGAAAUGAAAGAGAACUUGAGUUUGGAAAGAGAGAGACACACACAGAAAGAAAGAGGGAGAAGUUAAGAGAUGACUA
Molecule: unclassified non-coding RNA, 715 nt
Filed under: Hevea brasiliensis (rubber tree)
Lineage: Eukaryota; Viridiplantae; Streptophyta; Magnoliopsida; Malpighiales; Euphorbiaceae
Source: RNAcentral